Molecule: ribosomal RNA, 544 nt
Filed under: uncultured bacterium
Lineage: Bacteria
Description: bacterial SSU rRNA
Rfam family: Bacterial small subunit ribosomal RNA
Source: RNAcentral
AAUAGAUACCCCGGUAGUCCACCCCGUAAACGUUGGAACUAGUUGUGGGUCCAUUCCACGGGUUCCGUGACGCAGCUAACGCAUUAAGUUCCCCGCCUGGGGAGUACGGCCGCAAGGCUAAAACUCAAAGGAAUUGACGGGGACCCGCACAGGCGGCGGAGCAUGCGGAUUAAUUCGAUGCAACGCGAAGAACCUUACCAAGGCUUGACAUAUACGAGAACGGGCCAGAAAUGGUCAACUCUUUGGACACUCGUAAACAGGUGGUGCAUGGUUGUCGUCAGCUCGUGUCGUGAGAUGUUGGGUUAAGUCCCGCAACGAGCGCAACCCUCGUUCUAUGUUGCCAGCACGUAAUGGUGGGAACUCAUGGGAUACUGCCGGGGUCAACUCGGAGGAAGGUGGGGAUGACGUCAAAUCAUCAUGCCCCUUAUGUCUUGGGCUUCACGCAUGCUACAAUGGCCGGUACAAAGGGCUGCAAUACCGCGAGGUGGAGCGAAUCCCAAAAGCCGGUCCCAGUUCGGAUUGAGGUCUGCAACUCGACCUCAUG